Molecule: long non-coding RNA, 635 nt
Organism: Oncorhynchus tshawytscha (Chinook salmon)
Lineage: Eukaryota; Metazoa; Chordata; Actinopteri; Salmoniformes; Salmonidae
Source: Ensembl
GUCCAGGGGCAGGUAGAAGGUCAUACACAGGAGGAGGCAGGUAGCUGGGUCCAGGGGUAGGCAGAAGGUCAUACACAGGAGGAGGCAGGUAGCUGGGUCCAGGGGCAGGUAGAAGGUCAUACACAGGAGGAGGCAGGUAGCUGGGUCCAGGGGCAGGAAGAAGGUCAUACACAGGAGGAGGCAGGUAGCUGGGUCCAGGGGCAGGCAGAAGGUCAUACACAGGAGGAGGCAGGUAGCUGGGUCCAGGGGCAGGCAGAAGGUCAUACACAGGAGGAGGCAGGUAGCUGGGUCCAGGGGCAGGAAGAAGGUCAUACACAGGAGGAGGCAGGUAGCUGGGUCCAGGGACAGGUAGCUGGGUCCAGGGGCAGACAGAAGGUCAUACACAGGAGGAGGCAGGUAGCUGGGUCCAGGGGCAGGCAGAAGGUCAUACACAGGAGGAGAGAGGUAGCUGGGUCCAGGGGCAGGCAGAAGGUCAUACACAGGGGGUCCAAAAAGGCAAUAUAGUACAGGCAGGGAAAAGGCUAGUAAUUUUGUCCGGGAGAUAAGGUAAUAGGUUGAUAACAGGAAAUCCGAUAAGUUAAAGUAUAGGCAGGGAAUAGGCAAAAGGUGUCGUUAGUGAGGUAGGUAAAAACUAU